CCUUGCGUUGCCUCUCCUCCAUGCCCUUCAAGCGCUCAUGAACGGCCCGCAUAUCAUGGAGAUGCGCCCUUUGCAGUUUGGCAAAUUUGGCCUUCAAUGUUUUCAUUCCUUCCUGUCCGGGACUGG
Molecule: long non-coding RNA, 126 nt
Organism: Bufo bufo (common toad)
Lineage: Eukaryota; Metazoa; Chordata; Amphibia; Anura; Bufonidae
Exons: 3
Source: RefSeq, a predicted model, not a curated record